UGUUUCGGGCAGCGACGGCGCACCUCUCUCGCGAUUCGUCAGUUUUGGCUCGAGUGCGGCAUGGCCUCGGCCGAGACAAGGUUUCUUGUGCUGCGUACCCGCUCGAAGGCAUGCUUAUUUUUGUCCCAACGUUCCCCAUUCGUUCAGUGCCCCCCAUUUCCGAAGGGGCACGGGACGAAACUCGUAGCUCGGUCCAUUAGCCACGUUGUGGCGAACGGGCACCGCUCGAGCUCUCUUGGAUGCAGAAAGCAUUGAUGAGGGGCAUUGACGAUGUUGUUGUCCUUGCCCGAGCGCGCAUUAGAUAUUGACGACCGUUGCUCCCGUCUCGGCCCGGCCGUGCGGGCAGGACGCUGUCGCUGAGGAAUGCUACCUGGGUGAUCCUGCCAGU
This 388-nucleotide unclassified non-coding RNA is filed under the name Ibatia ganglinosa. Its description in RNAcentral is "partial external transcribed spacer". Lineage: Eukaryota; Viridiplantae; Streptophyta; Magnoliopsida; Gentianales; Apocynaceae. The record is from RNAcentral.